CAAUACAUGGCUUAGUGGUUAGCAUGUUCGCCUCACACCUGUAAGGUGUGGGGUUCGAUUCCAUGUGUGUUCU
Non-coding RNA from Ameiurus melas (black bullhead), 73 nucleotides. NCBI's taxonomy places the organism in Eukaryota, Metazoa, Chordata, Actinopteri, Siluriformes, Ictaluridae. The record is from the annotation of a GenBank genome assembly.